GACGAAGAACGCAGCGAAAUGCGAUAAGUAAUGUGAAUUGCAGAAUUCAGUGAAUCAUCGAAUCUUUGAACGCAUCUUGCGCUCCUUGGUAUUCUGAGGAGCAUGCCUGUUUGAGUGUCAUUAAAUUCUCAACUACACUGACUUUGAAUUGGUGUGGCUUGGAUUUGGGGGGAAAAUUGUUGUGGGCUUUUUGUAUAGUCUGCUCCCCUGAAAUUGAUUAGCGGUACCUUUGUGGAACUGUCUACAGGUGUGAUAAUUAUCUACAUCUUAGACAUCUGCUGGAAUGCUGCUUUCUAAACCUUACUUGUAUUGACAAUCUUGACCUCAAAUCAGGUAGGACUACCCGCUGAACUUAAGCAUAUCAAUAAGCGGAGGA
Molecule: unclassified non-coding RNA, 376 nt
Filed under: soil metagenome
Description: partial contains 5.8S ribosomal RNA, internal transcribed spacer 2, and large subunit ribosomal RNA
Rfam family: 5.8S ribosomal RNA (bases 1-120)
Source: RNAcentral